AAAGAAUUUGUAUGAAACUUCGC
RNAcentral lists this non-coding RNA (23 nucleotides) under Cricetulus griseus (Chinese hamster). The record is from RNAcentral. Lineage: Eukaryota; Metazoa; Chordata; Mammalia; Rodentia; Cricetidae.